Molecule: transfer RNA, 69 nt
Filed under: Eusthenes cupreus
Lineage: Eukaryota; Metazoa; Arthropoda; Insecta; Hemiptera; Tessaratomidae
Description: tRNA-Ala
Source: RNAcentral
GGGGUUGUAGUUAAAUUAACAUUUAUUUUGCAAUUAAAAAAUGCUGUAAUAUAUCAUCAGCCUUCCUCA